UACAGAGGGUGCGAGCGUUAUUCGGAAUUACUGGGCGUAAAGCGCACGUAGGCGGCUUGGUAUGUCGGGUGUGAAAUCCCCGGGCUCAACCUGGGAACUGCAUCCGAAACUGCCUUGCUCGAGUAUGGGAGAGGGAAGUGGAAUUUCCGGUGUAGCGGUGAAAUGCGUAGAUAUCGGAAGGAACAUCAGUGGCGAAGGCGACUUCCUGGACCAAUACUGACGCUCAGGUGCGAAAGCGUGGGGAGCAAACAGG
This 253-nucleotide ribosomal RNA is filed under the name uncultured bacterium. RNAcentral describes it as "partial 16S ribosomal RNA". It matches the Rfam family "Bacterial small subunit ribosomal RNA", at positions 524 to 776 of the family's 1533-position model. The record is from RNAcentral.